This is a long non-coding RNA of Zea mays, 614 nucleotides long. RefSeq lists it as uncharacterized. The transcript has 2 exons. The record is from RefSeq and is a predicted model, not a curated record. NCBI's taxonomy places the organism in Eukaryota, Viridiplantae, Streptophyta, Magnoliopsida, Poales, Poaceae.
UUUAAUGGUGUUUUUGAGAAUUCUAUUGAUUCCUUCUAAAUGUUAAAAUUAUGUUCACUACCAGGUUAUUAGCUUUUGUACUGCACUUCCACACACAUACAAUUUUUUUUCUUUUUUCUUAUACCUUCCAUGUCGUCUGGUCCAGAACUUGUACACUGUGGGGGUUAAUUAUGGAUAUGGAUCUAUGAAAUAUUAUUAGCAUGAAAAUAUACAUGGCGUGUAUGGAACAAAAUGGACUCUAAUGCUUUUUCUUGUGAUGUAGGAUGCUUUUGGCGCUGAGAGGAGGAAAGCUAUAAGAUGCUAAAUCUCUCCAUUGCAUGCGGAAAAACGUAGGAAGGGCACUGCAGCUGAUGUUGCUGUGUGCAAUGCUUGAGAUAGACAGAAAUACUCGUCUUAAGGAGCUUGGUUGGGCGCUACUCAUGUGGGUAGUUUAUGCAUAAAGUUAUGCCUGUUCGCUGCUUAAAUGUUGCCAUAUUUUGUUUUUCUCUUUGAAACUGUGAAGGGCACAACUUUUUAAUGACUUCUGUAACUUGUGUAUCUAACAUCUGUAUUCGGUAUUCUGAGUUAAAAUAGGCACAUUUAAUUAUAUUUUACAUAAUUUCUUUUAAAGAAUA